UCUUCUUUGAUCCUUUAAAUAGACUUUAGACUUGACCUCUUUGUUUGUAUGAACACUAUUCAUGUUUUAUUCAUCUUUAAGAAAUUAUUGCCUAUGAAAUGAGAGCAUAAAACAUGCUCACCGUAACGAUGUGAUAGUAUGCAGCUAUUUUAAAAAUUAACUGCAAAUCCUAUUGCUGCCCAUUUCCUCAGUCUUAUACAUAAUCCGACUUAAAGCUAUUUUUGAACAAUGUGUAUCGUUAAUCAGUUUUGGAGGUGAAGAGAAAUGGUUCAUGGUUCCAUUGGUCACUGACAGUUUACAUACUUCCUGAGUUUAUCUGUAUACCAGUUAGAGCAUUAGGAGUGGGAUCCAUGCAGACAGAAUAUUUUAAUAUUAUUUUAAAAUAUUUUUCAGGAUGCGAUGUGAAGUGUAGGAACAGAUGGAUUAGCAGCAAGACACCAUCUGAUGACACAAAGUGAAUGCUGUGUAUCCAAUGACUGCAGAGAAUAAGCCAAAGAAAUAGUGACAGCAAGUGGAAGACCCUCAGGGACAGCAACCACAAGUACAGUAACACCAAUAAUGAAGAAUUUAACAAAAUACUGAACAUAGACAGGAGUGCACUCAGCUGCUAGAACUCUACAGAAUGCGUAGCAGUUCCUUCAACACAGCAGGAGGCCAACAAUAGCACGUGUGAGAAGCCUAUAUAACUUCAUCACUGUACGUUCAGGGACUGCACAUAAAAAGCACUUUUUCUGGGUCAACUAUAUUUCACCUAACAGAGUAAAGAUGAUGCCUGUCUGAGAAUUCACACCCACAGCAGUUACAAGCAUUCUUCCAGAGCCUUCCAUGACGUGCCAGCAGUGAAAAUAAUGCUUCCUGAUACAGAGUGUUGAUCCGUCACCAAAUUUAGACUCACAGAAACAAACUAUGGCUGCCACUCGAAUGGUACCUUCCUUCAGCUGUUCUCAUGUCAAACCUGAACUGUUUUCAUUUCCAACAGAUGACUGACAGACAACAGUGGAAAGCAUCACCCCAAUCAUCUUUUUCUAAAUUAAAAAGUCUAGCUGGAGUGAGCUCACUGAUGCCCUCAAGAGCAAAGAAAAGAGGAAAAACUGACAUCUUCUUCCAGAAGUUUUUGUCUCUUUGUUUAUUUUUCUCUUUUAUUAAAAUAUGGGACUAUGCUAAUAUCCAGCAGGAAUUCAGUUUUUAAACUCAUUGUGAAAUAGUUGUGACACGAUGGCCUUCCACUUUUUUGAUUUCUUAGCUAUUUCCAGACAGUAUAUCAUGCCCAAUACCACUGAUAUUAAAACUUGAAUUACAUCUCAGAAGAAGGUGGUAUUUUGCAUGCCAGAAUCUCAAGUAAUCAAAUCUACUCAUAGGCAAAUAGAGUUCAAGGAUUUUCUAACAAAGCAUGAGUAUAAUUUCAUUAGUAGAAGCAUGGAACAAAAGCUUUUGUAGCUCUUGUUAAAAUAUCACAUUAAUUCUUCAGCAUUUUUGUAAUUACAGUAGAGAAGGAAAUUUUAUAUGAAGAGUACACAUUUUAACAUUGCCAUAAAACCACAAAAACAAACUUCUGUCUUCCUAGCUAGAGCUUUUGGAAACAGGAAAAAAAUAUUUUCUCAACUACUCAACUACUUUCCCUUUCUCUCCUUCCCUUCAUUCUUCUCAGAGCAAUGCAAUUAUGUUUUUUCUGAACUCUAUGGGUAUCCAAAAAGAUAUCACUCCAUUCAGGAAUUUGUGAGAGUACAUUAACCAGAUGGGAAAGAGAAGUCUGCUCAUGAAUAAUGACUUCAGAUGUACUUGAAAAUAUUAUUUCAGAUUCUAAUAUAUUAUCAUGAAACCAGCAGACAGUUAUUUUGUAAUCACAUUCCAGCUGAAAUCUAUAUAAUCUAACUGAUCCAUUUAGAAUUAAAAAACAAAACCAAAACUAUUUCAUUUAACUGAUUAAUUUGUAUUACAGUAUGCAAAAAUUAUGAAUAAUUUGAACAAACCUCAAC
Molecule: non-coding RNA, 1976 nt
Organism: Phasianus colchicus (ring-necked pheasant)
Lineage: Eukaryota; Metazoa; Chordata; Aves; Galliformes; Phasianidae
Source: RefSeq, a predicted model, not a curated record